UUAAUAUAUACAUUUGGUUGAAUCUUGUUGUCAUUAUUUUUUUCAGUAAAGAAGGUAUAAAUUAAUGCAAAAAGAUGAGUAAAAGUAGUGCAAAUUAAUAACUCGAAUCUAGUCAAAAUGUGUACAAAAGGUAAAAAAAAGGUAAUAAAUCGAAAAUUGUCUCACCAGUUUAGGACAAAUUAAAUUGCUGUUUGGAUCAAAUUUGAAAAAUGUAUUAGUACAGUGAUCAUUAAAAGAAAUUAUCAAAAAGUAUAUCGCAAAACAAAAUUUACAUUUCAAGUUUCUCUAUGAUUUGUGAAUUAUAAAAUAGCAACAAGAGUCAGUAAAUUUUAGGUUAUUUGAUUCUUCGAUCAAAUAAAUAUAUAUGCAAGUGCAAUAUUAAACGUCAUGAAAUUUAAGGUUAUGUGGAUAUUUGGAAAAUAUAACGGAGAAUAUUAUUCGUGAAAAUGGAAAUUAAGUAAAAUACAUAACGAAAGGUUUCAUGUUUAUGAUUGUUAAUGAUGACCGUGGGAUCAAGUGGUUUGAAGACAUACAUUUAUGAGGAUAAUGAUGUUCUUCUGAGAGAGACAGAGAUGAGAAAAUAGAUGUGAUAUUCGAUAAGAUAUACUGAAGAUAGGAGAAGAUAUAGAAUAUAUAAAAAGGGAAGUAAAAAAAUUAAGAAAGAAAAACGUCCAACAUGCUUUUUGCCAGAAAACCAUGUCGGAAAAUUUAGCCUCUAAAUUCGAAGUUAAACUUCCACUGUAAACAAUGGAAGAAUUUGACAAAUUAAAGGGACUUUUUCCGACUAAUAAAGAACUGCAACACUCUUUAAAAUCGACCCUGUUAUAUAGCAUUGAUUUAAGUGAGCAGACUUAAAAACAAUUAUUGUUCUUCAAAUUUUAUCGGCUUUAUUGAGUCGUGAGAUGCGGCAGUGAGGUUCAGCUCAUCCAAAACUAGUACCGGAUAAAAAAAUAUUAAAUAGAACAAAUUGAUGCAAAAUCUUAUUGAAGGUCUAAUUAUACUUUCAAAUCUACGGCAAGUAAAGAGAAGUAUUCGAAACCAGAAAUAAUUGAUGCAAUGGGAUAAAUUCUUACACUUUUUGAUGACUCUCAAACCUUGGGAAAUUUUACUGAGGCGUCUUCGUCGUCUAUAAAGGGCUUAAGGUCCUCUCAGGACGGGAGGUCGUGCAUCACAAGAGUCUGGCAGGAUAAUAGCCCCUCCUGAGUCUUAUUGCCGG
Long non-coding RNA from Leptopilina boulardi, 1216 nucleotides. RefSeq lists it as uncharacterized. NCBI's taxonomy places the organism in Eukaryota, Metazoa, Arthropoda, Insecta, Hymenoptera, Figitidae. The transcript is spliced from 6 exons. The record is from RefSeq and is a predicted model, not a curated record.